UACAGAGGUCUCAAGCGUUGUUCGGAUUCAUUGGGCGUAAAGGGUGUGUAGGUGGCGCCGUUAGUCGGGUGUGAAAUUUCGGAGCUUAACUCCGAAACUGCAUUCGAUACUGCCGUGCCUGAGGGCUGGAGAGGAGACUGGAAUUUACGGUGUAGCGGUGAAAUGCGUAGAUAUCGUAAGGAAGACCAGUGGCGAAGGCGGGUCUCUGGACAGUUCCUGACGCUGAGGCACGAAGGUCAGGGGAGCAAACGGG
Molecule: ribosomal RNA, 253 nt
Filed under: uncultured bacterium
Lineage: Bacteria
Description: partial 16S ribosomal RNA
Rfam family: Bacterial small subunit ribosomal RNA
Source: RNAcentral